RNAcentral lists this ribosomal RNA (478 nucleotides) under Pempheris adusta (dusky sweeper). RNAcentral's name for it is "partial 16S ribosomal RNA". It matches the Rfam family "Bacterial large subunit ribosomal RNA", at positions 1934 to 2565 of the family's 2925-position model. Lineage: Eukaryota; Metazoa; Chordata; Actinopteri; Acropomatiformes; Pempheridae. The record is from RNAcentral. RNAcentral also lists the same sequence under 1 other name.
CGGUAUUUUGACCGUGCGAAGGUAGCGUAAUCACUUGUCUCUUAAAUGGAGACCUGUAUGAAUGGCAAGACGAGGGCUCAACUGUCUCCUCUCUCUAGUCAAUGAAAUUGAUCUCCCCGUGCAGAAGCGGGGAUACGUCCAUAAGACGAGAAGACCCUGUGGAGCUUUAGACACUAAAACAGACCAUGUCCCUCCCCCACCUAUAAGUGGCAAAACUUAAUGGCCCCUGUCCUACUGUCUUCGGUUGGGGCGACCGCGGAGAAACAAAAAUCCUCCACGCGGAACAAGAGCACUGCUCUUACAACCAAGAGUUCCCACUCUAACGUAACAGAACUUCUGACCUUAUGAUCCGGCAAUGCCGAUUAACGGACCAAGUUACCCCAGGGAUAACAGCGCAAUCCUCUCUUAGAGACCAUAUCGACGAGUGGGUUUACGACCUCGAUGUUGGAUCAGGACAUCCUAAUGGCGCAGCCGCUAU